CAAAGGCUUGGUCCUGACUUUACUAUCAACUUUAGCUAAACUUACACAUGCAAGUAUCCGCACCCCUGUGAGAAUGCCCUACAGUUCCCUGCCCGGGAACAAGGAGCUGGUAUCAGGCACAUUAAGUUAAGCCCACGACACCUUGCUUAGCCACACCCCCAAGGGAACUCAGCAGUGAUAAACAUUAAGCCAUAAGUGAAAACUUGACUUAGUCAAAGCUAAGAGGGCCGGUAAAACUCGUGCCAGCCACCGCGGUUAUACGAGAGGCCCAAGUUGAUAGCCCCCGGCGUAAAGAGUGGUUAAGAUAACCUGAAUAAUAAAGCCGAAUACCCUCAAAGCUGUUAUACGCACCCGAGAGUAAGAAGAACAAUCACGAAAGUGGCUUACAACAC
This 392-nucleotide ribosomal RNA is filed under the name Siniperca chuatsi (mandarin fish). RNAcentral describes it as "partial 12S ribosomal RNA". The record is from RNAcentral. Lineage: Eukaryota; Metazoa; Chordata; Actinopteri; Centrarchiformes; Sinipercidae.